CUUUUUAGUAUGGGAGAUUUUGUUACUUGGAGUAAAUUAGAGUGUUCAAAGCAACCAGUUAAACCAUUUUACUGCGUUUGAAUACUACAGCAUGGAAUAACAAAAUUGAACAAGUCAGAAUUCUGUUCUUUUUUCUUAUUUUGGCUUAGUUACGAUUAAUAGGAGUAGCUUGGGGGCAUUUGUAUUCAGAUGUCAGAGGUGAAAUUCUUAGAUUUUCUGGAGACAAACAACUGCGAAAGCAUUUGCCUAAAAUAUUUCCAUUAAUCAAGAACGAAAGUUAAGGGAGUGAAGACGAUCAGAUACCGUCGUAAUCUUAACCAUAAACUAUGCCGACUAGGUUUUGGAUGAAAAAUUUUUAAAUAAGAAAAUUCCUUUCGGGGAAAUUUCUUAGAUUGCUUCCUUCAGUACCUUAUGAGAAAUCAAAGUCUUUGGGUUCUGGGGCGAGUAUUCGCGCAAGCGAGAAAGUUAAAAGAAUUGACGGAAGGGCACCACCAGGCGUGGAGCUUGCGGCUUAAUUUGACUCAACACGGGGAAACUCACUAGUUUAAGACAAGAGUAGGAUUGACAGAUUAAUAGCUCUUUCUUGAUUUCUUGGAUGGUGAUGCAUGGCCGUUUUUAGUUCGUGAAUAUGAUUUGUCUGGUUAAUUCCGAUAACGAACGAGAUCUUAACCUGCUAAUUAGCGGCGAAUACGUCUAUAUUCUUAUCUGAAAUUGAAUAUAGCUGAAUUGCUAUUUGAAGAU
Molecule: ribosomal RNA, 741 nt
Filed under: Plasmodium ovale curtisi
Lineage: Eukaryota; Apicomplexa; Aconoidasida; Haemosporida; Plasmodiidae
Description: SSU rRNA
Rfam family: Eukaryotic small subunit ribosomal RNA
Source: RNAcentral